UGGGGAAUAUUGGACAAUGGGGGCAACCCUGAUCCAGCCAUGCCGCGUGCGUGAAGAAGGCCUUAGGGUUGUAAAGCGCUUUCAGCGGGGACGAUGAUGACGGUACCCGCAGAAGAAGCCCCGGCUAACUCCGUGCCAGCAGCCGCGGUAAUACGGAGGGGGCAAGUGUUGUUCGGAAUUACUGGGCGUAAAGGGCGCGUAGGCGGCACAUCAAGUCAGAGGUGAGAGCCCCGGGCUCAACCUGGGAAUAGCCUUUGAAACUGAUGAGCUAGAGUCCGGAAGAGGAUAGCGGAAUUCCCAGUGUAGAGGUGAAAUUCGUAGAUAUUCGGAAGAACACCAGUGGCGAAGGCGACUCACUGGACAGUUAUUGACGCUGAGGUGCGAAAGCGUGGGGAGCAAACAGGAUUAGAUACCCCCGUAGUCC
RNAcentral lists this ribosomal RNA (424 nucleotides) under uncultured prokaryote. RNAcentral describes it as "bacterial SSU rRNA". It matches the Rfam family "Bacterial small subunit ribosomal RNA", at positions 355 to 796 of the family's 1533-position model. The record is from RNAcentral.